CGUGGAGUGAUCUGGUAAUCGAACAGCACUUUGAGAAGUGCCAGUUUUACAAAACUAGAUGAUUCAUUGCAAGUAUUCAGAAAGGGCCCAGUUAACGUACACUGGGCCACCAUGACAAGAAAGGCCCUCUUUCAGCUCUACAGAGAAGGAAAGAUCUUCAGAUAUCUGUUGCCACUGGAAUACAGACUUGGGAAUUCUGCUUGGAAGCUCAAAGGGCAGCAUUAUCCCCUUUUCUGAGGAUCCGUGAUGUGAGGAAUUUGGCCUUUCUGCAGGACCCCCAAAAGAGGAAGUAAUGCAUCUACAAGGGAAUUACAGGCACGCAAGUAGUUGGGAGUGAGAGAAAUAGCAAAGAAUGUGAUAGCUUGGAUUGUUUUGGUGAUGUUGGCAAGGAGAUUGUAAAGUGACUUUUUUUUUUCAUUCUUAACUGUUGAGUUAAGAAAAUAUUAUAAACAUUUUGUCACUGCUUAAAAUGAAAAUUCAAGUGAGUUUUUUUCC
RNAcentral lists this long non-coding RNA (495 nucleotides) under Chinchilla lanigera (long-tailed chinchilla). RNAcentral describes it as "lncRNA (ENSCLAG00000024031.1)". The record is from RNAcentral. Lineage: Eukaryota; Metazoa; Chordata; Mammalia; Rodentia; Chinchillidae.